AGAGUUUGAUUAUGGCUCAGGAUGAACGCUGGCGGUGUGCUUAACACAUGCAAGUCGUACGAGGUUAUUAGGACUUGUCUUGAUAAACUGCAGUGGCGGACGGGUGCGUAACGCGUAAGAACUUACCUUUUGGAGGGGGAUAACAAUGGGAAACUGUUGCUAAUACCCCAUAAUGCUGAGGAGCUAAAGGUGAAUAACCACCAAGAGAGAGGCUUGCGUCUGAUUAGCUAGUUGGCGGGGGUAAAGGCCUCCCAAGGCGACGAUCAGUAGCUGGUCUGAGAGGAUGAUCAGCCACACUGGGACUGAGACACGGCCCAGACUCCUACGGGAGGCAGCAGUGAGGAAUUUUCCACAAUGGGCGAAAGCCUGAUGGAGCAAUACCGCGUGGAGGAAGACGGAUCGUGGUCUGUAAACUCCUUUUCUCAGAGAAGAAUUUAUGACGGUAUCUGAGGAAUAAGCACCGGCUAACUCUGUGCCAGCAGCGGC
Molecule: ribosomal RNA, 486 nt
Filed under: uncultured bacterium
Lineage: Bacteria
Description: bacterial SSU rRNA
Rfam family: Bacterial small subunit ribosomal RNA
Source: RNAcentral